AACGAACGCUGGCGGCAUGCCUAACACAUGCAAGUCGAACGAGACCUUCGGGUCUAGUGGCGCACGGGUGCGUAACGCGUGGGAACCUGCCCUUAGGUUCGGAAUAACUCCCCGUAAGGGGUGCUAAUACCGGAUAAUGUCUUCGGACCAAAGAUUUAUCGCCUUUGGAUGGGCCCGCGUUGGAUUAGCUAGUUGGUAGGGUAAAAGCCUACCAAGGCGACGAUCCAUAGCUGGUCUGAGAGGAUGAUCAGCCACACUGGGACUGAGACACGGCCCAGACUCCUACGGGAGGCAGCAGUGGGGAAUAUUGGACAAUGGGCGAAAGCCUGAUCCAGCAAUGCCGCGUGAGAGAUGAAGGCCUUAGGGUUGUAAAGCUCUUUUACCCGGGAUGAUAAUGACAGUACCGGGAGAAUAAGCUCCGGCUAACUCCGUG
RNAcentral lists this ribosomal RNA (433 nucleotides) under uncultured bacterium. RNAcentral's name for it is "partial 16S ribosomal RNA". It matches the Rfam family "Bacterial small subunit ribosomal RNA", at positions 29 to 507 of the family's 1533-position model. The record is from RNAcentral.